RNAcentral lists this ribosomal RNA (799 nucleotides) under uncultured Glomus. RNAcentral's name for it is "SSU rRNA". It matches the Rfam family "Eukaryotic small subunit ribosomal RNA", at positions 314 to 1114 of the family's 1831-position model. Lineage: Eukaryota; Fungi; Glomeromycota; Glomeromycetes; Glomerales; Glomeraceae. The record is from RNAcentral.
AUCAACUUUCGAUGGUAGGAUAGAGGCCUACCAUGGUGGUGACGGGUGACGGAGAAUUAGGGUUCGAUUCCGGAGAGGGAGCCUGAGAAACGGCUACCACAUCCAAGGAUGGCAGCAGGCGCGCAAAUUACCCAAUCCCGACACGGGGAGGUAGUGACAAUAAAUAACAAUACGGGGUUCUUUAGGAUUUCGUAAUUGGAAUGAGUACAAUUUAAAUCUCUUAACGAGGAACAAUUGGAGGGCAAGUCUGGUGCCAGCAGCCGCGGUAAUUCCAGCUCCAAUAGCGUAUAUUAAAGUUGUUGCAGUUAAAAAGCUCGUAGUUGAAUUUCGGGGUCAGUAGAUCGGUCAUGCCACUGGUAUGUACUGGUCUCACUGAUUCCUCCUUCCUGAUGAGCCGUAAUGCCAUUAAUUUGGUGUUGCGAGGAAUCUGGACUGUUACUCUGAAAAAAUUAGAGUGUUUAAAGCAGGCUAACGCUUGAAUACAUUAGCAUGGAAUAAUGAAAUAGGACGUUCGAUCUUAUUUUGUUGGUUUCUAAGAUUGACGUAAUGAUUAAUAGGGAUAGUUGGGGGCAUUAGUAUUCAAUUGUCAGAGGUGAAAUUCUUGGAUUUAUUGAAGACUAACUACUGCGAAAGCAUUUGCCAAGGAUGUUUUCAUUAAUCAAGAACGAAAGUUAGGGGAUCGAAGACGAUCAGAUACCGUCGUAGUCUUAACCAUAAACUAUGCCGACUAGGGAUCGGAUGAUGUUAAUUUUUUAAUGACUCAUUCGGCGCCUUACGGGAAACCAAAGUGUUUGGGUUC